ACCUGCCCUGAACUCUGGGAUACGCGCUGGAGACGGCGUCUAAUACAUGGAUACGACCUAUCACCUGCAUGGUGUGUAGAGUGGAAAGAUUUAUCGGUUCUGGAUGGACUCCCUGGCCUAUCAGCUUGUUGGUGAUGUAAUGGCUCACCAAGGACACGACGGCUAGCCGGCCUGAGAGGGUGACCGGCCACACUGGAACUGAGACACGGACCACACUCCUACGGGAGGCAGCAGAGUAUAAUAUUGCACAAUGGGCGCUAGCCUGAUGCAGCAACGCCACGUGAGGGAUGACUGCCUUCGGGUUGCAAACCUCUUUUAGUAGGGAAGAAGCGAAAGUGACCGUACCUGCAAAAAAAGCACCGGUUAACUACGUGCCACCAGCCGCGGUAAUACGUACGGUGCAAGCGUUGUCCUGAAUUAUUGGGCGAAAACAGCUCGUAGGCGGCUUGUCGCGUCUGCUGUGAAAUCCCUGAGCUCAACCCCUGGCCUGCAUUGGGUACGGCCAAACUACAGUGCGGUAGGGUAGAUUGCAAUUCCUGGCGUAGCGGUGCAAU
Molecule: ribosomal RNA, 554 nt
Filed under: uncultured bacterium
Lineage: Bacteria
Description: bacterial SSU rRNA
Rfam family: Bacterial small subunit ribosomal RNA
Source: RNAcentral